This is a long non-coding RNA of Cuculus canorus (common cuckoo), 5555 nucleotides long. RefSeq lists it as uncharacterized. The record is from RefSeq and is a predicted model, not a curated record. Lineage: Eukaryota; Metazoa; Chordata; Aves; Cuculiformes; Cuculidae. The transcript is spliced from 3 exons.
CAUUUCUAGAGGGUAUAGGCAGUAACCUCGGACACACUCGUGUUCAAGAAGUACUCCUGAGACAAAUGUUGCUGGACUGGCUUCAGAGAUGACCUUGUCUUUUCACCGGUUUUAAUGAGGGAAACAGAACAGAAUCAAGAUCACUUACUGAUGCAACAUCUUCUUUGUUAAGGCUAUCUCAGGUAACUUGGAGGUCUGAGGAAGAGCUACACUGGUUGAUUAUUGCAGGAAUGAAAGGCACUCUGACCUUGUCGACCGAACGCCUUGCUGCUUUCAAUGUUGCCCAUUAUGCUGAAGGCAGGCAACUCCUGGAGAGAGGCUGAAAUCUACAGGAGAGCCGCUUGCCGGGCAGCCUGCCAGCCAAGGCUUCAGCAGCCGCACGGCAGACACCGCCAGGCAGCAAAAGAAGCCAGCUGGGGAGGGAGAGAGGGAGCUGGAUCAAAACAUUGUUAGCACAGGGUAUAAAGAGCUCUCAGACGCUGAUCACAGAUUGCUUCUUCAUUAAUAGGGCUUUGCAUCAUCCACCUGAAAUGAAAAGCAGCAGAGAAGCAAAGUAGAAAGAAGAGCACAGCGAUAAUUUUUUUUUUGCAGUGAAAUGUGGUAGUCAUUAAAUUUAAAAAAUAAUUAAAAAAAAAAUACCAACCGAAACCCACAGUUUUCACAAGAAUAGGGAGAUUGUUGCUGCAUAAGGAUCCAUUGAAAAUACUCCUCCGAGGAAAACGGGUCAUAUAUUCAGUUGCUAUAAUUGUGCUAAAUCGGAAAACAUUCACCAUAAAAUCUUCCUUAGAAUAUUUUUGGAGCUGUAAGAGGCUGGAAAACAUACCACCUGGCAAACAUUCUCUCUCGUUUCAUGUGUGUGAGUGUGUUUUUAUAUAUGUAUUUCAGAAAACCACAACCUCAGAAUUCACAGUCAUAAGACGUUAUUUGAAAUUAUUUCCUAUUACUCUGACUGUAACUUUCUUUGCUCUGAGGCAGCUGUGAGGUUCCUAACUUGACCUGAGGAUAAUGUGGAGACUCAGGUGAAGCUGUUGAAGGGCACUGAUAGUGUGAAGCUGAUCCAUUUCAAAUGAAGUUAUCCAAAAAGAGAUUCAAACAUUACGGGCAUUUCAUUUAGAAAGAGAGCCUAUCCCAGCAGGGUCACUAGUGUUUCAAUGCCAUCAUGACUUGAAGGCUGCCUAGCGACUCAUAGAAAAUUAAUACAUGCUCUUCAUUUGUUGUUUGAGUUCCUUUUUUUUCUAUCACAAAAAAAAAAAACCCAAACCACUGCUAAAACAUGGACCUGAAAGUCUCCUGUUGUUUCCUGAAGCUGAAGGAAGGAUUGGAUGAUUGCUACAUUACUCACACAGUCAUGGAAGCCGAUGCUGCUUGCCACAGUAGGAGAGACACGGGGUUAGGAUGACAAAUGUAUCACAUAUCCUGUGUCCAGCAGUCACAUCAUACCUUCCCCAGCCCUGCUAAAUCCCUGCAUGUCCUGCCAGGCUGUGGAUGGGUGUAGUAUCUGCUUUUUAUGGCUGCAGGACCAGAGUAUGCUGACAAGUGCCACCCUGCUCUGACUCUUGCCGUCCUUCUUCUCCAGGUCUAGGAGGGAAGGCACAUAUUAUGCAUUCACAGGCACUUUCUACCUUGAGAGGGUGGUUAUAUCAGGUCUGUGCCGCUCAGAAAGAGAAGGCCUGCCUCACAUUGAUGCUGUUCUGCUGUCCAAGAAGCCUGGAGUAAGAAAGCCAAAUAAAUUGGUUGUAGGUGAUGUCCAGAACCAGGCACACAUUCCCCUCAUUGCUUGAAGCAGGGUGUUCGGACCAGCAGUGGAGAACGCAUCUAAAAUCUUUGCAUAUAAUAAAAAUAAUUAAUGACCUUUGUUGUUAAAAGGAACAUCUCCCAUCAAGAUUGCACUAAGACAGUCUGAGUUUGUCUAAGUUUAUCACCCAUUCAUUCCAUGCAGUUAUGUCUCUCAGGGAGCGUCAUAUUACCAAAUUUCUGUUUCCCUGUAGGAAUUGGCAACUAUGACCAAUGCUUCCAAUUAAUGUCUUUGUUUUAAACAAAACUGACUGCUCAACCAAAAUCUUUCACAGCCAGGCUUGUUUUCUAAUCUUUAACUCUCUGUCCUGUUUAUUUUUUGCAUUUUCUUCAGCAACUCAAUAUUCUUCUUUAACAUAGUGCUCCUGUACAAACCAUUCCACUGCAAAAUAGCCCAUAAAUGUCUCGAACCUCACUGAGUGCUACUCAGCUUUGCUAUUCAGCUGACUAUUCCCAAUAAGCCUCAGCUCAUUUUCAGAGCUGCUGAAGUACUCUACGCUGUAAGUAAUGGCUUCGAUUAUUUGUUCCAAGCCGCAUCACUAUAUGGUACGUCUGGUCCCUUUCUCUUUCCUUUUAUUGGAAAAAGAAAAGCAACAGUGUUGUCUCAAAGUGAAAGAAGCUAUGCUUUAAAACAACUUGUGUAAAGAACCUGAGUGUGCUAACACAGGAGAUCCUUUCAUGCAGGUCACACUUUCAGUAGUUUUUCCAUGGAAAAAAUACAGACUGCGGACAGAAAUUGUUAUAUUUACAGUUCACUCUGUAAUGAAAGGGCAUUCAUAUUGAAUACUACUUUUAAUAUUAUUUUUACUCCUGCCCUGUACAUUUCAAGAAGCAGUUAUCAGGAUUAGUGUUGGAAAAGAGAGCACAUCAUACAGGCAGAAUUGGCAUAGUAAUGAGAAUGAUGCCAGGUGAGCAGAAGGCUAACACACAAACGAGAGUAAAUAUAUUUGCUCCAUCACACUGCAGGAGCUAAGUGGCUUUUUCCCCCAUUCUUUCCAGAGUUCAAAUCCUUGGCAAACAGCUUGCUGCAGCUCAAGUUAUUUUGUUUGGAGAAAUCUAAAAAGGUUAAGCCAACUAACACCAUGAAACAAAUGGAUCAGAGGUAUUUGAGCUUUGGAAAGUCAAAGUAUUAAAUAAAUUGUAAGUUCAUACUGUGCCAGUUCUUAGUUUUCAUUGCUUUAAUCUGAAGGAUGAAGUAAAAUAAAACCGUGUCAAUUAAAAACAAAACAAAAUAAAAAGGUAUGAGUAACGUGACAUGACAUAUCUAAAAUGGAAAAUAAUUGUUUUCACUUAAUCUGCUCACAUGGAGCCUCAGCAAAUCAGUGUAGUUUUCCUGAAAGCAGUUCAAAGAACACAAGCUGCCAUUUGUACCUUGUGGUUUUUUGUGUGUCUCUGUGCCUGCCAUCAUCCUCACUUGCUUCCUAAAUGCUUUGUAUUGUAACUAUAAAAUAGGAGUUUUGACUGUGAACCUGACAACAUAUUCAAGGGUUAUUUUUGUCUCCAUGGAUGCAGUUCUCUGCAAUAUUAGUACCCACUUAACACAAAUGGCUUAUGAACAUAUACAACUGCACGCACUUUCAAAGCCAAAUUUUACUGAAUGUUGAAGGUACUUUGCAUGCAUCGGCUUUGGGCACAGACCUUCUUUUGUCUAUGAAUCAGACCUGGUAGGUAUUCAAAGAUCACAGAAAUGCAUACUACAUAAUAAUUUUGCCUGUCUACCCAGACCUUCACUCUAUCAAACAGUCAUCAUAAAGGCCAUUUUUCUAAAGUAUGGUGGUACAUUCACCAUGAAAUCACUGACAGAUAAAGACAAAUGUUUAGGAAUUAUCCCAUAGAGCUCUAAAAACAACUUUAUAAGGACUUUGUCUUGGUCCGAAAAGGAAAACUAUAUACUAGCAAAAUCAAAAAGAUACAAGUACCUUUCCUCUGUGUGUGUGUGUCUGUGUGUGUAUGUGCGUGUGCACAACUUGUUCUAUUUGGAGUUCUCUUUAUCCUUAUUUGCUUUUUUUCUGUUUGUUUUGAUUGGUAUUGUUUUCACAUGGAAGGCACUUUCUACUCCUAAAGCCUGGGUGUACAGGUAUCUGUGAUCCUUAGAAAGAUGACCAGGAUAGGAAACCAGAAAAAUACAUUAAAAUGUUGGUUCUUUUACUAUCUGUCCAACCCUGCAAGGUGCUGGAGUUUUACUGUUGUCAUUGAACUGACCUGGGAGAAAUGAUAAGCCUCUGGAAAGACCAUGCACCCCUGAUAAUUUGGCUCAAAUGGGUUCAACAACUGGGUUUGAUGCGUACAUGCAAUCUACGUUUGCUCUUCGCUUUAUUUUAAAGGUUGAAAUGUGGCAUUUCAAAAAUAUAAUGUCAGAUAAGUAAUAAGUUUGAAUGUUAAGGGUUUACUGAAUAUCAGAUUUCAUCCAAGGAGAUGAGAAGGGUAUAAUUUCUGCAAUAUUUGCUAGAUUAGGACUUUUAUUUUUGUAGGAAGGGUAGAUUCGUCACAGUGGCUGGCAGCUCUUUGUCAGCAGUUGGGGUAGGAGUACAAGAAGCUUCCUUGCGUUCAGUAUCAGCAACCCCUGUUUAAUUUGCAUUUGAGGGAGUUUUUUCCAUAGUGUAUUCAUUUGCCAGUGAGUUAAUGUGUCCCUGCAUAAUCAGAUAAGAACAGAAUAGAAUUACUAAUGAUAAGAGGAGGUGGAACAAGGGCAUGCCAGUAGAACAGCCUUUCUGUCACCCACCUAUUUUGAAUAGACCAUAAUUUCAACUAUCUCCAGUUUGGUUUGGUCUUAUUUCUUUUUCCAGGAUAGGAGUAGAAGUACAUUUUUCCCCUCAAAACUGAAUUUAGAAAAUUAAAUGCUGUGGUUGGCUAUGGCAGCUACUACAUCAUUCUGUGAAGCUGGAGUUAAAGAAUAAAGCACUCUUGCUUGCAGCUAGGCAAACGUGUCACUUACGUCUCAAAUCCAAUCCAAGAGCAAAUUAAUUAAAGCAGACUAAGAAAUAAUUUCUGUCAAGCACAAAGGAAAAAAUAACAGAAAAAUUUUGCUGCCAGUGCAACACAUUCUUAUCAUGUGCAAGUCAAUAGUCACGAUUGCAUUAGAGUAAAUCCAAACGUCACUAAUCUUUAGGGCUGCCAUUCAUGAGGCCGGCCUGCACGGUGAAGAAAGGAAAAACUUCCAGACAGCUUUGUCAGCUGGUAUCGGGCCUUCGGGGCUCAGAAAGGAGGUUGUGAGCAACAGUGGUGGGCUACCCUGCCGGACUUGUUGGUGUACAAGAGGCAGUGCUCCAAUCUCUCCACUGCAGGGUGUUGGCCAAGGACGACGCUUCAGGCUGUUUAGCCACAUCCCUUCUGCUGUCUCUUGGACAAAGCAGCAGUACAGACACCCUGGUGUUUAACGUUGUGUUAUUACUUCUAAGCUCCUGUAACUCAAGAUAGAUUAUUCCUUUUAGCUAAAAUACUUUGUAACAUGGAUGGAGCUAGUUUUGAAUCAGCGGGACAGGUGUUAAUAGCCAAGAUGCAGGAGGCCAAAUUUUAUCUCAUGUAUGAUACCAUUUCAUUUGGCUUCACCAGCUUCUAAUUUGGUUUUGUCUGAGCAAAUUCUCCCUGAACUCAGUGAGCUAUACUGUUUAAACAUGAUAGGUAACAUAGAAAGUCGAUACUUCACAUAUUUAUUAAUUCUGCUACACAAAUUUCACAGUGACUUAAAAAACAAUGAGCAUAUAUGCCAUGAUAUAGUGAAAGUGAAUAGAGAGCAAUGAAUGCCCAUAACAGAAAGUAAG